AAGGACUACGAUGUUGAGUGAGGUAUGUUGCACAGAAUAAGUUGUUUAGAAGCCAGCUUCAUAUUUACAAAUGAGGAGGUAUUGCAAGAUGCCCCAUGGUAAACCGUCAUUUGAAUGUUGUGAUUGUGGUCAUUCUUUGGUGGGAUUAGUAUGCAUUAGA
Molecule: long non-coding RNA, 160 nt
Organism: Momordica charantia (bitter melon)
Lineage: Eukaryota; Viridiplantae; Streptophyta; Magnoliopsida; Cucurbitales; Cucurbitaceae
Source: RefSeq, a predicted model, not a curated record